GUCUUUGCCUAUUUAUUUAUAAGCCACAGAAGAUUAAGAAUGAAGGAGGGGAGUAUGUGCAAAGAACCAUCAUACUUAAUUCCCACCUCUUCAAACUGCUAGAGCCACAGACAAUCCUGGAAUACCCCAAAAGAGAGGAGGAUUCCAUGCUGCUGCUCCGCCAUGCUUCACACCAAUCAAUAAGAAGUGUUUCCAGCUGUAUCUACGAAAUGUCUCUCCAGAAUCACUGACAAUUCGGUUCACAUCAUAUGGCAAUUAGAUAAUUUUCUGAUGACUUUUAACUUACCUCCUCUCUUUUGACUUCUCCCUACACCAUAUCAGUGUCCAAAGUGUUGCCAAAACCACUUCGAAAAUGCACAUCUGUUUCUGUCUCUCCCUUAUAUUAUGCCUUCAAAUCAUGACUUCUUAAAAUGAUAUAAGGAAUUUUUACAGUUGGGUAAAAAAUUAAGUUGGAGCCUCCUUUAUAAUUGUUCCUGUACAUUUGCCAUCCCUCCAGACUUAAAGAAUAAAUUGAAGAACUUUGUACAGAAUAUUGACUUUCCUGUUGAUGUGCCAUCAUUUAGUACAGGAGAAACAACUCAGUGUAUACCUAUCUGCAAACUUUUCUAAUGAUAAUUUGUGCCUAUAGUCCUAUACUGAUGUGAAGUGUGAAAAAAUAUAUACCAGGAGAAACAAAGGAGAAUGGCACCAUAUAAUUGGUAGAUUUUCAUCCCAUAGUUUAUUUUCGUAUUUGCCUGCAAGGUCUUUUUUCAUACACUAAAUCAAGCCCUGCCUGUUUUGAAAUCAUCAUCGACACCCCUUCAAAGCACAGUUAAGUACACCUUCUCUGGUUUCACAUGACAAUCUGAUUGCACUGGAUUACAGUCAAAACUUUUGUGUCUGUCUGUGCAAUUUCUGAUGUCCUUAAGGGCAGGGACAAUGUUUUUCCCAAUUUUGUAUUGCCAGUGCCUAGCACAAUCCCUGACUUUUUGUAGAUAGAACUUUUUUCCACCAAUUGUAUAAUUUAAUGAAUCACACAUAUAGACUCUAAUGAUUACAUGAAUAUUAUUAAUUGAUACUCAAUGUUUGUGGUCUAAUAUUAUUUUUCUUGAAAUAAAUUAAGAUAUAUUUAAUAUAAUAAAAUUAAAACUACAAAAUAAAACAAACAUUUAUAACUUGAAUUUAACAUGUCAUAAAUUUUUGCAGUAGCAGUAAUACAUAUUGAAAAAACACAUACCUUGGUAUAACAAAAUAUAAAAAUGAAAAACAAAACCAACCAAAAAACUGCUUAGUACAUUCAUAUACAAUAUUAAAUUGUACUCUAUGAAUACAUACUAAUGUUUAUGAAUUUAGUAAGUUUGCAAUACAUAGAAUUAUUUAUGUCAUUUUAUGCAGAAAAAAGGUAUUGUAUUGGCAUUGUUACACAUUAUAGGUGACAGGUAAUGAAGUAAAUUAUGUUCUAAAAUUAUAUUUUUGCAGAAGUUAUCAACAUCAUUAGGUUUUAUUAACUUAUUCUUGAAGUCUAUAAAAAUUGGCAAGUGGAUCACGAGGUCAGGAGUUCAAGACCAGCCUGGGCAAGAUGGUGAAACCCUGUCUCUACUAAAAAUACAAAAAAAAAUUAGCUGAGCAUGGUGGUGGGCACCUGUAAUCCCAGCUACUUGGGAGGCUGAGGCAGAGAAUUGCUUGAACCUGGGAGGCAGAGGUUGCAAUAAGCCGAGAUCAUGCUGCUGCACUCCAGCCUGGGUGACAGAGAGAGACUCCAUCCCCUACCCCCCCCACCCCCCCAAAAAUAGAGGUCUUUUAAUUUUUCAUCUGUGGGUUACUGUCCAAAACAAUGAACCAAAAGAAUUAUCCCUAAGUAAAUUACCCAUAAUUUCUCCACCUUUAAGUUGUAUUUUUUUCUGAAGAUAAUGGAAAUUAGAAGCUAAAGCGUGCAAACUAUUAAUGUUAGCAUAUGACAGUUGAAGGUGAACACAGAAGGCCUGUUAAGGUGUGCUCACUUCUUAAGGUUAAGACAUAAAGAGAAAACUUCUUACUACAUUAGAAUAUAGGAAGACACCUCUAUUCUGUGUCUUAUGUGAAGAAUAGAGUUAAGAAAGAUGCUGCUAUAAUAAAACAUAACAUUUUUACUUAAUAUUUAUAAACAACCACAUAGAAAAUAUAAUUCUCCAGGAAACAUAAAGUUUAUUUGAUAAACUCUUCAAUUAAAAAAGUGGUUGGGUCAUUUUAAUGGAUGGUCCCAUUGAACCAUGAUAUCUGAAUCGUCCAUCAUUAUUAUAGGUAUAUGAGUAUUAAUGGACCAGAUAACCCCAGUGUGGUAUUCAGGACAUCUUUAUCGUAAGUAUUGUUGAAAAUACUUCAACCUUUUUUAAAAAAAAAUCUAUUCAAAGUAUCUUCUGUUUCUCUAUGAAGAAUAUCCUUUAAUUUUUUUUCUGUGAAAAUAGCCUUUAUUUCAGAAAGGCACAAUGCAAAUUAAUGAAGCCCUAGGCUCACACAUAUCAAGAGUGUUUUAUUUUGUUGAAGUUACUCCUUGGCUUUCAUUGCUAGUAAUAAAAUUCCUUGGUAAGAGAGUCACACCUGUUUGUGAUAAGCAGUCUUGGAAUAUAACGAUGAGUGCUGGAGAAAUGUGAGCAAUGCGACAACAGUGUCUGUUAAAAUGUGCUUUUUCAUAGUUUAUUUUUAUCCAUUGUGUUGGGCAUUCAUUUGACUCUCUAAAACUCAUGUCCUUUAGUACUUUUAGAAUUCUCUUGAUUUUUAAAAUAAGGUAAUUUCUCCACUAUCUUUCAAAGCUUUACCUUUCAAGGAGCAAGAGUUUUAAUUUGGGAAAUUCUAUUUAUCAUUUUUCUUUCAUAGUAUAUAUACUUUAUGUUGUUUCAAAUAUUUUUGCCCAACCUAAUGUCAUGAAGAUUUUCUACAAUAUUUUAUUCUACAAGUUUUGCCGCUUUAUCUGUUAAGUUUUAAUCUAUAAUCUAUUUUGAGUUAAUUUUUAUACUUAAAUAUCAAAUUAUUUUUGGACUCCCUAUUUCAUUCCGUUAAUCUACAUCUUUUUUUUUUUUUUUUUUUUUUUUUUUUUGAGUCGGAGUCUCACUCUGUCGCCCAGGCUGGAGUGCAGUGGCGUGAUCUCGGUUUACUGCAAACUCCGCCUCCCAGGUUCCCGCCAUUCUCCUGCCUCAGCCUCCGGAGUAGCUGGGACUACAGACACCUGCCACGGCGCCGGCUAAUUUUGUGUGUGUGUGUGUGUGUGUGUGUAUUUUUCGUAGAGACGGGGUUUCACCGUGGUCUCCAUCUCCUGACAUCGUGAUCCGCCCGCCUCAGCCUCCCAAAGUGCUGGGAUUACAGGCGUAAGCCACGCGCCCGGCCCCGUUAAUCUACGUAUCUAUCUAUAUGCCAAAAAACGUACAGAGCUGAUUACUGUUGCUUUUCAGGAACUUUUAAAAUCAGAUACUGUAAGUCCUCUAACUUUGUACCUUUUGAAAAACAUUUAGCUAUUGUUGUCUUUGCCUUUCCACCUAAAUUUUUAAAUCAUGUGGUCAAUUUCUUCAAAAAAAGGCUUGUUACCAUUUUUAUUAGGAUUUCAUUGGAUCUAUAGACCAAUUUAUUAAGAAUUGUCAGACUAACAAUAAAAUUUUAAAAUUAGGUGUUGUAAAUCCUCCAACUUUGUACUUUUUCAAAAGUGUUUAGCUAUUAUUGUCUUUGCCAUCCAUACAGAUUUUUAAUUGAUAUUGGCAAUUUCUUCAGAAAAUGCUUGUGACAGCUUUAAUUGUGAUUUCUUUGUACUGACAGGACAAAUUUUGAGAAUUGUCAGACUAAUAAUGUUGACUCUUCAAAUGUAUGAACAAGGUACAUUCACUAGCUAAUUAAGUCUUCCUUUAUUUCCUUUGCAAUGAUUUGUAUCUUUCAGUGUACACAAAAAACAAAAUAUCCAAAUGCUUAGUUUUGUUGUUAAGGUAUGCUCUUUGACAAAAAGAGUAUUAUAUGAAAAACACUAAUCUAACAUUGUCAUCUCUGAUAAAACAUUUCUUAUGAAUAACAAUGUAUGAUUUCAAUUGUGAUAAAAAUAAUGGGUUCCAUAGGAAUCAUAGCAUAUUGUGUUCAAGUUAUAUAAAAUUACACCAUAGAAUUUAUAUUUUCAGAAGAGUUUUGAAUGACCAUUGUGGUGAUACAUGCUUUUUUUUUUCUUCUCCUAUGCCAUGUUUUGUAGUCAUUUUAUUCAAAAUAUAUACAUUUUCAUUUUUGAAGAGUGUUUACCUGGACUUCAUUAAAUAACCAGUGUAUAUUUCAUUUUAGGUAAGAUUUGUUUCAGUUGUAAUUAAGAUCCUUAGCCUCUAAUUCUAGUUGAAUUUUUCCCAUCAAUUCUUCUCAUUUAUUCACUACAAAGAAAUUGCUAUAGUACUUAAAGUAUCUAAUUAUACAGUUUUGCUCCCUUAUAAAUAAAUGAGAACAUAAUGAAUACAUUAGUAAUCAGUGGGUGGAUUCACAACAAUGUAAGAGGUAUAAAAUAUUUGUACAGCUUGACAGGUAGAAACAUUUCUCUACUAAUGGUUUAUGUAAAUUCAUUACUUAUAUACUUUUGAUGGGAUUCUAUAGUAUUCUCUUAUUUUAUGAUUUCUUAUUGUUAGUAUGUAGAAAUUCAAUUGUCUUUUCUGCAUUGACCUUGCAUCUUGCAAUCCUAAACAUUAUCUUCUUUGUUAGCUAGUAGCUUUUUUAUAUAUUUCAUAGAGUUUAUUGCAUAUGCAAUCAUGUCAUCUGUUAAUAAAGAUUUUUACUUCUUACUUUUUAAACAGUAUGAUUUUUUUCCCUACUACACUGGCUAAAACAUCCAGUAUAAUUUUAAAAAACAAGAGAUAAGAAUAAAUAUCCCUUUUUUCCUUUUUAUUAGUAAAAAGCAUUGGGCCUUGCCCUUGGAUAUUAUAUUAGCUAUAAGUUUUUUAAUAGAUACCCCAAAUCAAAUGGAGAAAAUCUAUUCUCACUUUUCUGAGAGUGGUUUCCUAUGAAUGAGUGCUGAAUUUUGUCAAAUAUUUUUUUCCACCUAUUAAAGUGAACACAUUAUUUAUCUCUUUUGUAAUUUUAAUGUGGUAAUUAAAAUUACUGAUUUUCUGACAAACCUUACAUUCUCAGGAUAAAUUCUACUGGGUCCAUGCUUUUUGAUUUGAUUUCCUAAUUUUUUAAAAAUAAUUGUGUGUCUACAUUCAUGAAGGUUAUCAAUCUGUCAUUCUUUCUUUAAAUAUCUUGUCUGAUUUUGGUAUUCAGGCAUUACCGAACUCAUAAAAUGAAUUAUGAAGUGUCCUUUAUUUUCUGAAAAAUUUUGUGCGUAAUUGUAAUUUUGGUUUGCCUCAAUGUUUGAUAGUGUUCAGAUGUGAAGACAAGCUAUGCACUUCCAAUUGAAUAAAUUUUGGUAUUGUCUAUCUUUCCAGAAUUUUUUUAUUCCAUCUAAGUUGCCAAACAUAUUAGAAUAAAGUUGCUUAUAAUAUUAUUUUAUUACUCUUUAAUGAACAUUGGAACUUAUAAAAAG
RNAcentral lists this long non-coding RNA (5491 nucleotides) under Homo sapiens (human). RNAcentral describes it as "HSALNT0045331". The record is from RNAcentral. Lineage: Eukaryota; Metazoa; Chordata; Mammalia; Primates; Hominidae.